Molecule: non-coding RNA, 72 nt
Organism: Phrynosoma platyrhinos (Desert horned lizard)
Lineage: Eukaryota; Metazoa; Chordata; Lepidosauria; Squamata; Phrynosomatidae
Source: the annotation of a GenBank genome assembly
GCCAGCAAGGUGUAGUGGUUUGAGCGUUAGACUAUGAUUCUGGAGACCAGAGUUUGAUUCUCUGCAUAGUCA